AUACGAAGGUCCCAAGCGUUAUUCGGAGUCACUGGGCGUAAAGAGUACGUAGGCGGUUUGGUAAGUCAGGUGUGAAAUCCCGAAGCUCAACUUCGGAACUGCAUCCGAUACUGCCAGACUAGAGUAAUGGAGAGGCAGGUGGAAUUCUCGGUGUAGCAGUGAAAUGCGUGGAUAUCGAGAGGAAGACCAAUGGCGAAGGCAGCCUGCUGGACAUUUACUGACGCUGAGGUACGAAGGCUAGGGGAGCGAAAGGGAUUAGAAACCCCAGUAGUCC
RNAcentral lists this ribosomal RNA (274 nucleotides) under uncultured bacterium. RNAcentral's name for it is "partial 16S ribosomal RNA". It matches the Rfam family "Bacterial small subunit ribosomal RNA", at positions 523 to 796 of the family's 1533-position model. The record is from RNAcentral.